AACGCACGAGACCUGCGGACCUGCGGAAGGAUCAUUAAUGAGAAACUGCCCCUCGCGGGUAGAUCUCCCACCCUUUGUAAACUUACCUUUGUUGCUUUGGCAGGCCCGUCUCCGGACCGCCGGCUUCGGCUGGCCAGUGCCUGCCAGAGGAUUCUAAAACUCUGUCUGUCAGUGUUGUCUGAGUCCAUAUACAAUCGUUAAAACUUUCAACAAUGGAUCUCUAGAUCGGAAGAGCACACG
This 240-nucleotide unclassified non-coding RNA is filed under the name soil metagenome. Its description in RNAcentral is "partial contains 5.8S ribosomal RNA, internal transcribed spacer 2, and large subunit ribosomal RNA". The record is from RNAcentral.